RNAcentral lists this ribosomal RNA (440 nucleotides) under uncultured bacterium. RNAcentral's name for it is "bacterial SSU rRNA". It matches the Rfam family "Bacterial small subunit ribosomal RNA", at positions 338 to 770 of the family's 1533-position model. The record is from RNAcentral.
CCUACGGGAGGCAGCAGUGGGGAAUCUUGCGCAAUGCGCGAAAGCGUGACGCAGCAACGCCGCGUGGGGGAAGACGGCCUUCGGGUUGUAAACCCCUUUCAGGAGGGACGAAGGCUCACCGGUGAAUAGCCGUGUGGGUUGACGGUACCUCCAGAAGAAGCUCCGGCUAACUACGUGCCAGCAGCCGCGGUAAUACGUAGGGGGCAAGCGUUGUCCGGAAUCAUUGGGCGUAAAGCGCGCGUAGGCGGCCCUGUAAGUCCGCUGUGAAAGUCAAAGGCUCAACCUUUGAAAGCCGGUGGAUACUGCAGGGCUAGAGUCCGGAAGAGGCGAGUGGAAUUCCUGGUGUAGCGGUGGAAUGCGCAGAUAUCAGGAGGAACACCAAUAGCGAAGGCAGCUCGCUGGGACGGUACUGACGCUGAGGCGCGAAAGCGUGGGGAGCG